GCAGUGGUGGUUCGGUGGUUCAGAAUUCUCGCCUUCCAUGCAGGAGACCUGGGUUCUAUUCCCAGCCGUUAGA
RNAcentral lists this transfer RNA (73 nucleotides) under Loxodonta africana (African savanna elephant). It matches the Rfam family "tRNA". Rfam says of the family: Transfer RNA (tRNA) molecules are approximately 80 nucleotides in length. Their secondary structure includes four short double-helical elements and three loops (D, anti-codon, and T loops). The record is from Rfam by way of RNAcentral. Lineage: Eukaryota; Metazoa; Chordata; Mammalia; Proboscidea; Elephantidae.